This is a long non-coding RNA of Brassica rapa (field mustard), 1783 nucleotides long. RefSeq lists it as uncharacterized. The record is from RefSeq and is a predicted model, not a curated record. NCBI's taxonomy places the organism in Eukaryota, Viridiplantae, Streptophyta, Magnoliopsida, Brassicales, Brassicaceae.
UAGCGAUAGCAUACUUCGUUGCUGUACUGUGCGAGAUUUGGUUUAUCGGAAACCAUAAUGUCAGCCCAGAGCUAUCUAUGAUCAAUAAGGUGGUGGCAUUUGUUAUUAGUUACAACAUCAUAUUUAUCCUUGCUAUACGGCUUAUAUACGUGCCAGACUCGGAAUAUCAGAUUUCAACACAAGACCAAGGAUCAACAACAUUCUUGGUUGGAUUCAGUUUCUUCUUACCUUAACUUAGAUAGUACUGUACCGCUUCUAAACUGUUUAAUAACCUGAAGGUGAAAUGUGGGGUAAGAGGAAGGACCAGGCUGUAACGCAGGUGGAAUGCUGACCGUAUGUUACUAAUGAUACAUCAUCUGUACAAGAAACCAGUAUCAUCUGUUUAAUAAUAUGCACGGACCAAGGUUCGUAAUCUUGAAUCAUAUGUUUUCUCUUUCUUCAGUAUUUGUUAUGUGUUCGUUUUCAUUUGAUCUCUUUUAUCUAAAUUUUAUGGAUCAAAUAUGUAACGCCAAUCUUCUUCCCAGCCAUCUGCUUGAUUAAUUUCAUGCUGCGACGACCAUUCAUAAACAUUGAAUUAGACAGUGUGAUCGACGCAAACUAUUUAGCAGCAACAACUGACCAAUAAUGCUUAUAAACCAUACAUAGAGUGAAGAAAUGAGAUAUUACAAAGUCAUAAACAAACAAAAUAUGUGUAAACAGAAAAAUGAAUAGGAAGAAAUCACGUAGACAAAUAAGAUAAGACUUCUAAAAGAUGAAUUCAUUGCAAAACUAUACAUGUUUAUAAACCAUUUAUUAAACCUAAGCAUGCAAUCUUUGAAGGAGACUUUUUUAUACUGAGAAAUUGACGAUAGAUUGAAAAUCUGUUGCAAAUUUAACCUACAGAAAAUACAUAACUGUUAAAACAAAUCUAUAAGUUAGAGAUUUGGAUUUACUUUCAGAUGUUGCUGCACAAUUAAGAGUAGUUUACGUUGCGCUCAUGUCACAUGAACAAGAAACCCAUUGCACCGUCUCCUUAGUGAUCAAAUAUCCUAGACCAUGUAUUCAUGAUACUGCAUUUGAUCAUCCUCCAGAACGCACAUGAAGAAGCGGAAGGGGCAGCAGUGGCAGCAAAGGCAGAAGGGACAGCAGGGUCGACCUCUAAACGCACAAGAAUAAAAACACCAAAACGCACAAGAAAAAAAAACAGUAGCAUGUAUGUUCUUGUGAGUUUUGCUGCUUCUCCUUGUGCGUUUAGGGGUGGACGCUUCUGCCGUUGCAGCCGCUUUAAUAACCUUAACCCGUAAAGAAUUGAUCUUUCUGUAUAGUGGAGAUGUCUAAAAGCAUUCGUCCCAAUGCAUAUAGAAUACCUGAACAAUUUAUAAUCAAAGAACCAAAUAUGACGAAACAGACCCUUAAUGGUGGUCUUACCAAUAAGUCAAAUUUCAAACUUGCAUUCAUGGUAAGAAUAAUUCGGUGUGGCCAAAUUUAACUCAAUAUCUUUUUUUUUCUUUCUCUAUUUAUUGGUAUGAUCCAUAAUCAUAUGAUUUGUUUCCAGAUAUAUGCAUGAAGAAAAAUAUACUGAAAAGAGUAAGAGAUCUACACCGAGAUGCACCACGUAUCAGCCAAAUAUGUGUGUUUAUUUAUUGUGAAUGUUUUCAUGAGGUUUCUGUGGAAAGUAUAUUUUCUCAUGAAAUUCCAAUAUUCAUUCAUUUUUAUGAGGUUUCUACGGAAAGUAUAUUAUUGUUGCUUAAUUGUAUUUUUAAAUUUAAUAGUUUUUAUUUUCAAUAACUAUUUUCACUCAUUA